RNAcentral lists this transfer RNA (64 nucleotides) under Chamberlainia hainesiana. Its description in RNAcentral is "tRNA-Thr". The record is from RNAcentral. Lineage: Eukaryota; Metazoa; Mollusca; Bivalvia; Unionida; Unionidae.
GCCCAAGAAGCUACUAACUAAGCAAUGGUUUUGUAAACCUUAGAAGGCUGAAAGCCCUAGGGCU